Molecule: unclassified non-coding RNA, 338 nt
Filed under: Phormidium chlorinum KUAC 3230
Lineage: Bacteria; Bacillati; Cyanobacteriota; Cyanophyceae; Oscillatoriales; Oscillatoriaceae
Description: partial contains 16S ribosomal RNA and 16S-23S ribosomal RNA intergenic spacer
Rfam family: Bacterial small subunit ribosomal RNA (bases 1-254)
Source: RNAcentral
CCGGCCUCAGUUCAGAUUGCAGACUGCAACUCGCCUGCAUGAAGGAGGAAUCGCUAGUAAUCGCAGGUCAGCAUACUGCGGUGAAUCCGUUCCCGGGCCUUGUACACACCGCCCGUCACACCAUGGAAGUUGGCCAUGCCCGAAGUCGUUACCCUAACCGUUCGCGGAGGGGGAUGCCGAAGGCAGGGCUGAUGACUGGGGUGAAGUCGUAACAAGGUAGCCGUACCGGAAGGUGUGGCUGGAUCACCUCCUUUUUAGGGAGACCUAAACCCAAUAUCUUGAGGAUGCAAUUAAGCCCAAGAGAUUGAGGUCAACCUAGGUCGGUCGGAGAAUCGUCG